UUGGUUUAUUUGGAGGUGUGCGUUGAAUUUGGUUUUGAUUGGUUUGCUUGGAGGUGAUUUGGUUUAUACUUUCUGG
Molecule: long non-coding RNA, 76 nt
Organism: Drosophila persimilis
Lineage: Eukaryota; Metazoa; Arthropoda; Insecta; Diptera; Drosophilidae
Exons: 3
Source: RefSeq, a predicted model, not a curated record